AGUGAACGCUGGCGGUAGGCCUAACACAUGCAAGUCGAACGAGAGGCGGACGGGUGAGGAAUACAUCGGAAUCUACACUGGCGGGGGGGAUAACGUAGGGAAACUUAAGCUAAUACCGCAUACGAGUGAAGGAGCCGAUGUCGGAUUAGCUAGUUGGCGGGGUAAAGGCCCACCAGGCCGACGAUCCGUAGCUGGUCUGAGAGGAUGAUCAGCCACACUGGAACUGAGACACGGUCCAGACUCCUACGGGAGGCAGCAUUGGGGAAUAUUGGACAAUGGGCGCAAGCCUGAUCCAGCCAUACCGCGUGGGUGAAGAAGGCCUUCGGGUUGUAAAGCCCUUUUGUUGGGAAAGCGGUACCCAAAGAAUAAGCACCGGCUAACUUCGUGCCAGCAGCCGCGGUAAUUC
Molecule: ribosomal RNA, 406 nt
Filed under: uncultured bacterium
Lineage: Bacteria
Description: partial 16S ribosomal RNA
Rfam family: Bacterial small subunit ribosomal RNA
Source: RNAcentral